UCUUUCCUUCUUUAUCUCUCUAAAAAUCGCCAAUUUCCCCUCUCUCUCUCUAAAAUAUUGUUUAUUAUUUAUUUAAUAAAUAAUAAUAAGGUUUUGCCUCGUUUUAAGUGUUUUAGCUCCCGAUCACCGCUACCCUUUCCGAUUGAUCUGAGUCCCAUAACGCAUGUCAAGGCUCUGCCCGACUAAGUUCGUUUGGAUUCGGUCUCGGACAUCAGGAUAAGGUUGAAUAAGGGGUACUAUACUUAACACGAGUGCAUUAUAUAUUUUUAUAGUUCAAAAGUUAUACCCAAAAUUUAUACCAAGAGAUUUUCUAGUUGAACCCUAAAGUUACAUAGUGGGUCCAUUCUCUUUUCUCACUGUUUUAUUCUCUUUUUAUGAUUUACCCAAAACUAUUAUUUAUUAUUUCUAUUUUGUAAACAACUUUCAUCAAAAAUCAUGCCUAUUAUUUUAUUUACCCAAUAGGGAACCAUAGUUGAAACACCCAAGUAAUCCUGCACAACUCCUAAAAUUUUCAUAGCAAUCAGAAUCAGGAUCAGGGCCCCUAAAACUCAGGGGGGGUAUUCCCCACUUGACGAUUAUCCUUAUAACUUGCUGUCUAAAUUGAAAUUAUUCGUUCCAUCGACUCAGCUAGCCUACUCCCACACGCGGCAAACCUAUGGUCAUUACGUGUCCCUUACGGACCGUAAGGGAUAAGGCUUACGGUCCGUAAGCCUGUCAAAUUUCGUGUAUAAAUAGCAGGCAUCGGCACUUGCAGUCUGCUGUUCAUUCGAUGAUUAAAUUCCGAUUAUACACCGAGUUAUCGUCCAAAUACUCUAAAAACACACACGCGAAACACUAAUUAGUAUAGCAGGGUGCUGCUACGAUACAGGGUAUUAACUCGAUCGCUAUUACGAUUCAUUUUCCAACCGAUCAAUAUAUCCAAUGGAUGUUUAAGUGCCGCCCACGAUAGGGUUAUACUUUGUCGUUCGUCGUUAAAUCGAUGGAUGUUUAAGUAUCGCACUUUGUCGUUCGUUGUGAGAAUUUGAUCUCGUGAGUUAUCGUAAUUGUUGUAUUAAGUUACCUACCUAGUUUGUGUGCACUAGGUUACAAGGCUAAAUCAAUAGGCUAAGCUCUGCCUGUAUAAAUCUGCAAUAUAUCAAGACUUAUCUGUAAACUAAACUUUGGCCGUAUGAAUCUGCAUGAUUAUAAUGUAAUUACAGUAGAUUGGAGUAAGGAUUGGAUCCGGCACUAAAAGACUUCAAGAAGUGGCUUAUUUUAUUAAUUAAAUCAAAUUAAGAAAUAUUGUUUUUAUUAAAAGCUACCUUUGUAACAAUGGAAUUUAUUCCAUCUAUUUAAAUAAAAUCCGGUGUUUCUAAACUCUAAUAUUUUUUUUCCUAACUCACGGUCCUGAUGAAAAUUCCGCUGCAAUGUUUUUCAAAAGUAAUCACCGGUACCACUGGACUGCUCUCGGCUUCCGAUUCCUGCCAGGAUGGGGUCGGGGGUCGUGACAGUAAAGGUGGUAUCAGAGCCACUGCUUUAAGCCUAUAAGUGUUGUGAUAAUAAUACUUAAGCUUAAAUAAAAAGAGUUAGGAGAUUACUGUUAAAUGGUAGCACAGCCGAUAGCAGUUAGACUUGAACAUAAGAAAAGAUGCCUUAAUAUAAGCUAAGCUACUUGUUUACACAAUUAGGUGUUAUAAUAAUACCUAAGUUUAAACGGAAAAUUAGAAGCUUAAUAUUAUCUGAUAGCAUUCCGGAUGAUAUUUAGACUUGAACUUAAGAUUUUUGCCUUAAAUAAAUUUUAAGGUAAAUUACUUAUAUAAGUACAAUGUAAUGGAUAUUGGUAUUCCAUAAAAAUGACGAUUAGCAGGCAAUAGCACGUAAUUGCUUCUUGCUUAUUGAUAUUAUUUGGUCGAGAAUAAGAUAUGUUAGGGAAGUACAAAUUUCCUUGAUUCUGGAUAAAAGUCCUAAUAAAAGAGGCACUUUUAAAAAAAUCUUGAAAAGAUACUAUUUAUGGGAAAUAGAAAAUUUUCUCCGACAAAACUGGGUAUAGAGUAGCAGACUCUCCAGCUUGUCUGGAUAUACUGAAGUUACCUCUCCGGCGCGAACCGGAUAAGACGGGGUAAAUAAUAUGUCAAAUCAGUGACAAGACUUCCCUAAAUAAAAUCAUGACCAGAUAUUUGACUUGUUUUUUGGAGAUAUGAAUCUGCUAAAUACAUUGAUCUUAUAGAAGGUAUAUAUAUUACAGCAUGUGAAAUAUAUAAUUAUAUAGAUAUGUAUAUCUAUAAGGAAUUCCAAAAGUCGAUUAGGAAUAAAACACAAGCAUAUGUGUCUAGAUUUCUUUAUUAGGAAUCUCUUUUCCGAUAUCAAACAUUAUUUCGUUUGAUCAUUUGUCUCGUAGUUCGUGUGACAAAAUAAAUAAAUUCGAACACCAUAAAAAAUAUAAGAAUUACCAAUGCGUUAUCAUAAACUAUUAACACAAGUAAGAAACAUCUAAAGUUGUGCUAAUGCACAAGAAAACACAUAAAACUUAAAUUAUAUAUAUCCACGGACAUCGAAGUUUAUCACACAUGACUUCCAAGGCAAAGACCUUUGGAAAAUAUAAAUUAGGCACGAUGACACCAAUACUAAUUCCGUC
This 2614-nucleotide long non-coding RNA is filed under the name Helianthus annuus (common sunflower). RNAcentral describes it as "hypothetical non coding rna". The record is from RNAcentral. Lineage: Eukaryota; Viridiplantae; Streptophyta; Magnoliopsida; Asterales; Asteraceae.